UGCCUAUAAAAAGGGGUCACCUCUUCUUGGCAUCAUAACGUCCCUCUUGCUGGUUUUUAUUUUUUCAGAGCUCGUCUCCUCCUCCUCUUUUCCUCCUCUAGAUCUCUCUUGCUUUGGAGUGUCCAAGGUGCUUGAAGAAAAAGAAAGAGAUCAGCCAUCGAAGUUGCUUGCAGGCUAGCACCUCCAAGCCCCUAAUCUGCGCCAGUUUUUGUGUGGAUUUUUCUAUAGAGGCCAAAUGACUUCGUAUAGCUAUGAACGACCUGAGGAACAUCCUUUCCAAGUGUUGGAUCAGAAAAGAUCAAAAUCCAAUUGAUUUGGUAAUCAUCUCUAAUCUAUUUUGAUCAUACCAUUAGAUCCACAUAGUUAGAUCUAGGAUUUCAGCAUCGAUGAGAUCGAUGUGUAUUUUUAUUCUCAGAUCUAAAGUGCAUCAUAUUUCAUAUCUUUUUCAUGAUAUGAUAGUCUAGAUUAGAUCUUAUGCAUAUGAUUUAGAUUAAAUAGUUUAAUCUUAUUCUUCCGCUAUACAAAAAUUUUAAAAUUGCAUGCAUAGCACUACGUACGUUUCCUUCACAUUUAGCAUCUCAAACCAUCUCAAAAAAUUCUAAAAU
This 605-nucleotide long non-coding RNA is filed under the name Elaeis guineensis (African oil palm). RNAcentral describes it as "long non-coding RNA (EGUI_LNC058695)". The record is from RNAcentral. Lineage: Eukaryota; Viridiplantae; Streptophyta; Magnoliopsida; Arecales; Arecaceae.